RNAcentral lists this ribosomal RNA (482 nucleotides) under uncultured bacterium. RNAcentral describes it as "partial 16S ribosomal RNA". It matches the Rfam family "Bacterial small subunit ribosomal RNA", at positions 30 to 507 of the family's 1533-position model. The record is from RNAcentral.
AUUGAACGCUGGCGGCAUGCCUUACACAUGCAAGUCGAACGGUAACAGGUCUUCGGAUGCUGACGAGUGGCGAACGGGUGAGUAAUACAUCGGAACGUGCCCAGACGUGGGGGAUAACGAGGCGAAAGCUUUGCUAAUACCGCAUACGAUCUAAGGAUGAAAGCAGGGGACCGCAAGGCCUUGCGCGUUUGGAGCGGCCGAUGGCAGAUUAGGUAGUUGGUGUGAUAAAAGCUUACCAAGCCGACGAUCUGUAGCUGGUCUGAGAGGACGACCAGCCACACUGGGACUGAGACACGGCCCAGACUCCUACGGGAGGCAGCAGUGGGGAAUUUUGGACAAUGGGCGAAAGCCUGAUCCAGCAAUGCCGCGUGCAGGAUGAAGGCCUUCGGGUUGUAAACUGCUUUUGUACGGAACGAAAAGGCUCUGGCUAAUACCUGGGGCACAUGACGGUACCGUAAGAAUAAGCACCGGCUAACUACGUG